CAUGAGGAUAUACUUCAUUUAUUCAUCAAUCUCAUUCUCAUACUUUACAAACUCUUAUAACCAAUUACAGUUUCACCUAUCAUUGCUAUGCAGUAGAUACAUGAAUAUGCUAGACAUAUAUGUAAGCAUACAAUCAUCAUUAUUUUUUUUUUCCCACUCCAUAAUGUCUCCUACACUAUACAUCAUUAAUCUCCACCAACUCCACCUCACCAAACUUUCCACCUCACGCCACCACCUUUUUCUUUCCUCCACUACAUUUUACUCCACCACCACUUGCUCCCCACCCAACAAAUGCAAUAUUCACUCUCAUUUCAUUUUCAUCCAAAAGUUCAGAGGAUCAAUUCCAGUUCGUUUCAGCCGAAGCUUUCAAGGUAAUGCUUGGCUUCAAUGCUUUCUUCUCCUUUGAUUAAGUUCAUCCUGCAAUUGUUAAGCAAAUAAGCAAUUUAUUUCAGUUUCUAUCCACUGAUUCAAUCAACAACAACAGCCAUCAACAACAAACAAUCAAGGUCAAGCGCGAGAGUAAGAACUACUCAAGGAGUCAAAAUACCUUAGCAAAACUUUGCUAUCAGGUUGAGCUGUGAUGGGCGAUGAAGUGUUGUUGCUGAGUAGAGCUUUUGUCGAACUUAAAGUAGGCUCAGAAAGGAUACAUGUCUUCAUACAUGUAUCUCAGUUAUGCUUUCCGCUGUAAACACUGAUUAUUUCAGUUACACCUUCCGUUGCAAACUCUGAUAAUGUUUUAGCCAAGCCCCUAACGAUGCCUUUUUCCUUUUAAGGAAUAUAACGCUUAUACAAGUUCGUUGAGUACCCUUUUUAUGCGAACUAUGCCUUUUUCCUUUUUAAGGAAUA
Salvia miltiorrhiza (redroot sage) is the source of this 846-nucleotide long non-coding RNA. RefSeq lists it as uncharacterized. Lineage: Eukaryota; Viridiplantae; Streptophyta; Magnoliopsida; Lamiales; Lamiaceae. The transcript has 3 exons. The record is from RefSeq and is a predicted model, not a curated record.